UAAGUUUUACAGAUAAUA
Molecule: transfer RNA, 18 nt
Filed under: Cryptolaemus montrouzieri
Lineage: Eukaryota; Metazoa; Arthropoda; Insecta; Coleoptera; Coccinellidae
Description: partial tRNA-Leu
Source: RNAcentral